Molecule: small RNA, 113 nt
Filed under: Sinorhizobium meliloti 2011
Lineage: Bacteria; Pseudomonadati; Pseudomonadota; Alphaproteobacteria; Hyphomicrobiales; Rhizobiaceae
Description: putative ncRNA
Source: RNAcentral
AUCGGGUUGCAGCGGCGAAGUUCGCCCGUUGUAGUCGCGCCACACGUCGAUGCGCCCUGCGUGUCGAUGUGAGCUGAAGAUUGACAAUUUUGAGCCCGAUGAUAGGCAUUGAG